AAAUUGAAGAGUUUGAUCAUGGCUCAGAUUGAACGCUGGCGGCAGGCCUAACACAUGCAAGUCGAGCGGAAACGAGUUAUCAGAACCUUCGGGGGACGAUAACGGCGUCGAGCGGCGGACGGGUGAGUAAUGCCUAGGAAAUUGCCCUGAUGUGGGGGAUAACCAUUGGAAACGAUGGCUAAUACCGCAUGAUGCCUGACGGGCCAAAGA
Molecule: ribosomal RNA, 210 nt
Filed under: Vibrio parahaemolyticus
Lineage: Bacteria; Pseudomonadati; Pseudomonadota; Gammaproteobacteria; Vibrionales; Vibrionaceae
Description: partial 16S ribosomal RNA
Rfam family: Bacterial small subunit ribosomal RNA
Source: RNAcentral